UAGUUUUAGCCUCUUUUGGGACA
RNAcentral lists this non-coding RNA (23 nucleotides) under Arabidopsis thaliana (thale cress). The record is from RNAcentral. Lineage: Eukaryota; Viridiplantae; Streptophyta; Magnoliopsida; Brassicales; Brassicaceae.